RNAcentral lists this unclassified non-coding RNA (237 nucleotides) under plant metagenome. RNAcentral describes it as "partial contains small subunit ribosomal RNA, internal transcribed spacer 1, and 5.8S ribosomal RNA". The record is from RNAcentral.
UCUCCGUUGGUGAACCAGCGGCGGGAUCAUUACCGAGUUUACAACUCCCAAACCCCAUGUGAACCUUACCAAACGUUGCUUCGGCGGGAUGCCCCGGGCGCGGGCCGCAAGGCCUCAGCCCCGGAACCAGGCGCCCGCCGGAGGCCCAAACCAAACUCUUGUUUUUGUAGAAUCUUCUGAGUGGCCUUUUAGGCAAAAAAUGAAUCAAAACUUUCAACAACGGAUCUCUUGGUUCUG